AAAACGAAUGUGAUUUGAACAUCCAUAGGAAGAUCAAAUUCCUAGCUUACAUUUGCAUGAUGAGUUCAACAAGUAUUUGUUAUUAGAGAACAAGUAACACAGUUAGUGUAGUGGUGUAGGGAAGCAAACGAAUGUAACACCAAUUGAAAGUCCUUCAACAAGUAGAGAUGCACACAUGUUUCAAUCAUUUGAGAUACCCUUUUGUAGAAGUAUUUGGAAGAUAACUAUUAAUAAUUUCAUUUGUAAAGAUACGAUUUGUAAAAAAGUAUAUACAAAGUGGUUUUGCUGGUAUUAAAUAAAUAAAUAAAAAUAC
Molecule: long non-coding RNA, 313 nt
Filed under: Diabrotica virgifera virgifera (western corn rootworm)
Lineage: Eukaryota; Metazoa; Arthropoda; Insecta; Coleoptera; Chrysomelidae
Description: uncharacterized LOC126880087
Source: RNAcentral